GUGAAUCAUCGAAUCUUUGAACGCAAAUUGCACUCUCUUCGGAGAGUAUGCCUGUUUGAGGGUCAGCCUAAAAAAAAAAUCGACAUAGUCGCUGUUUCGCGGUGACAUUCGUCGGAAUUUGGUUCAUUUUAAACCCUUGGGUUUUAAGGGCUUUAAAUUUUUUUUUAGGUUUCCCCGAACGUUUUUAAGUUUUAUUUCUUAUACUUUUAAGGAA
This 214-nucleotide unclassified non-coding RNA is filed under the name Glomus sp. Its description in RNAcentral is "partial contains 5.8S ribosomal RNA and internal transcribed spacer 2". The stretch from base 1 to 65 matches the Rfam family "5.8S ribosomal RNA", at positions 84 to 154 of the family's 154-position model. The record is from RNAcentral. Lineage: Eukaryota; Fungi; Glomeromycota; Glomeromycetes; Glomerales; Glomeraceae.